This 76-nucleotide transfer RNA is filed under the name Sandarakinorhabdus fusca. RNAcentral describes it as "Polymorphobacter fuscus tRNA-Ala". It matches the Rfam family "tRNA". From Rfam's summary of the family: Transfer RNA (tRNA) molecules are approximately 80 nucleotides in length. Their secondary structure includes four short double-helical elements and three loops (D, anti-codon, and T loops). Further hydrogen bonds mediate the characteristic L-shaped molecular structure. tRNAs have two regions of fundamental functional importance: the anti-codon, which is responsible for specific mRNA codon recognition, and the 3' end, to which the tRNAs corresponding amino acid is attached (by aminoacyl-tRNA synthetases). tRNAs cope with the degeneracy of the genetic code in two manners: having more than one tRNA (with a specific anti-codon) for a particular amino acid; and 'wobble' base-pairing, i.e. permitting non-standard base-pairing at the 3rd anti-codon position. Lineage: Bacteria; Pseudomonadati; Pseudomonadota; Alphaproteobacteria; Sphingomonadales; Sphingosinicellaceae. The record is from RNAcentral.
GGGGCCUUAGCUCAGCCGGGAGAGCGCUACGAUGGCAUUGUAGAGGUCAACGGUUCGAUCCCGUUAGGCUCCACCA